This is a non-coding RNA of Phrynosoma platyrhinos (Desert horned lizard), 72 nucleotides long. The record is from the annotation of a GenBank genome assembly. NCBI's taxonomy places the organism in Eukaryota, Metazoa, Chordata, Lepidosauria, Squamata, Phrynosomatidae.
GCCAGUGUGGUGUAGUGCUUUUAAGUGUUGAACUACAACUCUAGAGACCAAGGUUCAAAUCCCUGCCUGGCA